Molecule: transfer RNA, 91 nt
Filed under: Streptomyces plicatus
Lineage: Bacteria; Bacillati; Actinomycetota; Actinomycetes; Kitasatosporales; Streptomycetaceae
Also listed under: 1 other name
Description: tRNA-Ser
Source: RNAcentral
GCCUGCUGGGGCAGCGGAGCCGCCUGGUGCGCCUGCUGGGCGGGCGGGACCGGCGGGGUCGGCGCGGCCUGUUCCGGCUGGGCCGUGGGCU